GUGCUUGCUCCGGCAGCACAUAUGCUAAAAUUGUAACGAUAGAGAAGAUUAGCAUGGCCCCUGUGCAAGAAUGACACGCAAAUUCAUGAAGCAUUCCAUAUUUUA
Non-coding RNA from Podarcis lilfordi (Lilford's wall lizard), 105 nucleotides. The record is from the annotation of a GenBank genome assembly. NCBI's taxonomy places the organism in Eukaryota, Metazoa, Chordata, Lepidosauria, Squamata, Lacertidae.